This 486-nucleotide ribosomal RNA is filed under the name Bradyrhizobium sp. Its description in RNAcentral is "partial 23S ribosomal RNA". It matches the Rfam family "Bacterial large subunit ribosomal RNA", at positions 71 to 491 of the family's 2925-position model. The record is from RNAcentral. Lineage: Bacteria; Pseudomonadati; Pseudomonadota; Alphaproteobacteria; Hyphomicrobiales; Nitrobacteraceae.
AUAAGCCGUGGGGAGCUGCGAAGAAGCUUUGAUCCGCGGAUUUCCGAAUGGGGAAACCCACCUUCGAUAGCCGGAACUCCAAGACCUCAGUCGAGAGACUGUGGUGUGGGGUUCGACCAGAUAAUGGAAGAUUCCUGGACCUUUAGGUUUCGAUCGAAGAGGUUUUGGAUUUCCGGUUAUCAAGAGAAGGUAUGAGACUUCUGAAUACAUAGGAGGUUUCAAGCAAACCCAGGGAACUGAAACAUCUAAGUACCUGGAGGAAAGGACAUCAACAGAGACUCCGUUAGUAGUGGCGAGCGAACGCGGACCAGGCCAGUGAUACAUCAAAGACAAUCGGAACCAGUCAGGAAAGCUGGGCCUUAGAGGGUGAUAGCCCCGUACGAGUAAUGCGAUGAUGUAUCCACGAGUAAGGCGGGACACGUGAAAUCCUGUCUGAACGCGGGGGGACCACCCUCCAAGCCUAAGUACUCCUCAGCGACCGAUAGU